GCGGGGAUGCUGGAAUUGGUAGACAGGCUACGUUGAGGACGUAGUGUCCGUAAGGACGUGGAGGUUCGAGUCCUCUUCUCCGCACCC
RNAcentral lists this transfer RNA (87 nucleotides) under Candidatus Woesebacteria bacterium. RNAcentral's name for it is "tRNA-Leu". It matches the Rfam family "tRNA". Rfam says of the family: Transfer RNA (tRNA) molecules are approximately 80 nucleotides in length. Their secondary structure includes four short double-helical elements and three loops (D, anti-codon, and T loops). The record is from RNAcentral. Lineage: Bacteria; Candidatus Woeseibacteriota.